RNAcentral lists this small RNA (627 nucleotides) under Pongo abelii (Sumatran orangutan). RNAcentral's name for it is "retained intron". Lineage: Eukaryota; Metazoa; Chordata; Mammalia; Primates; Hominidae. The record is from RNAcentral.
AUUUGGGCAUCCAGCCCCGUGCUGGAGCUGAUGGCUGAGGCAGGGAGGGCAUCGGUGCUGCCGGGGAGCUCUUGGCCACCCUCUGAGGGUGGGGGAGUCUCAAAUCCCCCAAAGGACAGAGUGGACAGGAGGUCAUCAGGAGGGUCUGGGGAGCAGGUGGUCCCUGGGCAUGAGCCCCCUCACGCACCCUGUCCCUACAGAACUCUGACAGCGUCCCACCUGGCUACGAGCCCAUCUCGCUGCUCGAGGCGCUCAACGGCCUCCGGGCUGUCUCCCCGGCCAUCCCCUCGGCCCCUCUUUAUGAAGAAAUCACCUAUUCAGGCAUCUCGGACGGCCUGUCCCAGGCCAGCUGUCCCCUCGCUGCUAUCGACCACAUCCUGGACAGCAGCCGCCAGAAGGGCAGGCCGCAGAGCAAGGCCCCUGACAGCAGCCUGCGGUCCCCGUCUUCCCCCAUCCACGAAGAGGAUGAGGAGAAGCUCUCCGAGGAUGUGGACGCCCCUCCCCCACUGGGUGGUGCAGAGCUGGCCCUGCGGGAAAGCAGCUCCCCCGAGAGUUUCAUAACCGAAGAGGUUGAUGAGUCGUCGUCACCAAAGCAAGGGACCCGAACACCUUCCAUUGAGAAUGUCC